This 497-nucleotide ribosomal RNA is filed under the name uncultured bacterium. RNAcentral describes it as "partial 16S ribosomal RNA". It matches the Rfam family "Bacterial small subunit ribosomal RNA", at positions 28 to 507 of the family's 1533-position model. The record is from RNAcentral.
GAUGAACGCUGGCGGCGUGCCUAAUACAUGCAAGUCGAGCGAACAGACGAGGAGCUUACUCCUCUGACGUUAGCGGCGGACGGGUGAGUAACACGUGGAUAACCUACCUAUAAGACUGGGAUAACUUCGGGAAACCGGAGCUAAUACCGGAUAACAUGUUGAACCGCAUGGUUCAACAGUGAAAGACGGUCUUGCUGUCACUUAUAGAUGGAUCCGCGUCGCAUUAGCCAGUUGGUAAGGUAACGGCUUACCAAGGCAACGAUGCGUAGCCGACCUGAGAGGGUGAUCGGCCACACUGGAACUGAGACACGGUCCAGACUCCUACGGGAGGCAGCAGUAGGGAAUCUUCCGCAAUGGGCGAAAGCCUGACGGAGCAACGCCGCGUGAGUGAAGAAGGUCUUCGGAUCGUAAAACUCUGUUAUUAGGGAAGAACAAAUGUGUAAGUAACUAUGCACGUCUUGACGGUACCUAAUCAGAAAGCCACGGCUAACUACGUG